GCAGGAGUUUGAUCCUGGCUCAGAAGGUCUUAAAGGGUGGCCUUAAAUUUUAUCCCCGGCCCGGUGAUCUCACGUGGAGCCCUACCUAUUAGACUGGGAUAACUUCGGGAAACCGGAGCUAAUACCGGAUAAUAUUUUGAACCGCAUGGUUCAAAAGUGAAAGACGGUCUUGCUGUCACUUAUAGAUGGAUCCGCGCUGCAUUAGCUAGUUGGUAAGGUAACGGCUUACCAAGGCAACGAUGCAUAGCCGACCUGAGAGGGUGAUCGGCCACACUGGAACUGAGACACGGUCCAGACUCCUACGGGAGGCAGCAGUAGGGAAUCUUCCGCAAUGGGCGAAAGCCUGACGGAGCAACGCCGCGUGAGUGAUGAAGGUCUUCGGAUCGUAAAACUCUGUUAUUAGGGAAGAACAUAUGUGUAAGUAACUGUGCACAUCUUGACGGUACCUAAUCAGAAAGCCACGGCUAACUACGUGCCAGCAGCCGCGGUAAUACGUAGGUGGCAAGCGUUAUCCGGAAAUUAUUGGGCGUAAAGCGCGCGUAGGCGGUUUUUUAAGUCUGAUGUGAAAGCCCACGGCUCAACCGUGGAGGGUCAUUGGAAACUGGAAAACUUGAGUGCAGAAGAGGAAAGUGGAAUUCCAUGUGUAGCGGUGAAAUGCGCAGAGAUAUGGAGGAACACCAGUGGCGAAGGCGACUUUCUGGUCUGUAACUGACGCUGAUGUGCGAAAGCGUGGGGAUCAAACAGGAUUAGAUACCCUGGUAGUCCACGCCGUAAACGAUGAGUGCUAAGUGUUAGGGGGUUUCCGCCCCUUAGUGCUGCAGCUAACGCAUUAAGCACUCCGCCUGGGGAGUACGACCGCAAGGUUGAAACUCAAAGGAAUUGACGGGGACCCGCACAAGCGGUGGAGCAUGUGGUUUAAUUCGAAGCAACGCGAAGAACCUUACCAAAUCUUGACAUCCUUUGACAACUCUAGAGAUAGAGCCUUCCCCUUCGGGGGACAAAGUGACAGGUGGUGCAUGGUUGUCGUCAGCUCGUGUCGUGAGAUGUUGGGUUAAGUCCCGCAACGAGCGCAACCCUUAAGCUUAGUUGCCAUCAUUAAGUUGGGCACUCUAAGUUGACUGCCGGUGACAAACCGGAGGAAGGUGGGGAUGACGUCAAAUCAUCAUGCCCCUUAUGAUUUGGGCUACACACGUGCUACAAUGGACAAUACAAAGGGCAGCGAAACCGCGAGGUCAAGCAAAUCCCAUAAAGUUGUUCUCAGUUCGGAUUGUAGUCUGCAACUCGACUACAUGAAGCUGGAAUCGCUAGUAAUCGUAGAUCAGCAUGGUACGGUGAAUACGUUCCCGGGUCUUGUACACCCCGCCUCCCACAGUUGUAACAAUGUUACCACCGGAUUUCCUCCGGGCUCACGAAGUCGUAACAAUGGAGCAGUAGAGUUUUC
RNAcentral lists this ribosomal RNA (1441 nucleotides) under Staphylococcus aureus. Its description in RNAcentral is "bacterial SSU rRNA". It matches the Rfam family "Bacterial small subunit ribosomal RNA". Lineage: Bacteria; Bacillati; Bacillota; Bacilli; Caryophanales; Staphylococcaceae. The record is from RNAcentral.